CAAGACAUCGACAGAGACUCCAGGUGAAGCGAGAGAGAAGGCCAUGGAGGCGACGUUGGCGAGCUUCCUUGGUGGCCUGAGAUCGAUCGGUGAGAGGAGAGGGAGAGGCCGACUUCGGUGGUGACUGGAACGAGAGAGGGCCCAUGAGAGAUGGUGUCGUUCCCUCGUCGGAGCAGCAACGAACCACCAAUCGGGCGACGACCUUGGAUCGAGGAUGGAUGGAGUCUGAGCAUCAACAAGAGCCGAUGUUGGGUGUCAAGCGAAGGAAUCGAUCUGACAAAGAUAGAUCGAGGGAGAAGCCUUCUCCCCCAUGCGAAGCGGCUGGCGGUAGAGUCAAAGGCGAGGGGAAGAAGCGGAUUCCAAGAUUCGUGGAAAGCUCGACGGAUUGAAUCGGGUCACCGGCAGCGACCUCUGUAAUUGCAGAUGCAGAGGUUAGGGAAGAGUGAUCACCUAGCGAAUUAUGGAAGAUAAGUGACUAGUUUGCAAUACCUGUAAAGUUGGAGGUGUUAGACUGAACUGUUCUUCCUGGAAAUUAGGAUGAGUGGAUUGUAGUUCUAUGUAUGGUAGGGACUGAACUGCAAGGACCACAGUUGGGGAACUGAUUCUGAAGUUUGCCAUGUUGGGCAAAGAAAUGACAAUUCUGCCCCUUCAAGUUUCAGCAAGUUGCAAAGAAGUAAACGGAGAAUAACUCGGUCGUUUGAGGUCAGAACGACGCACCGUCUAAGGCUGUAGUUUCGUGGCAGUAAGCGGAAUCAUCUGGGAUAUAUUUUUGAGAUGUUGGCUCGCCAAUGAGGUGGGUUGGUUUAAGGGGGUAAUAACUUGUCGU
Molecule: long non-coding RNA, 826 nt
Filed under: Linum usitatissimum (flax)
Lineage: Eukaryota; Viridiplantae; Streptophyta; Magnoliopsida; Malpighiales; Linaceae
Description: long non-coding RNA (LUSI_LNC006436)
Source: RNAcentral